RNAcentral lists this transfer RNA (74 nucleotides) under Firmicutes bacterium CAG:345. It matches the Rfam family "tRNA". From Rfam's summary of the family: Transfer RNA (tRNA) molecules are approximately 80 nucleotides in length. The record is from Rfam by way of RNAcentral. Lineage: Bacteria; Bacillati; Bacillota.
GGAUCAAUAGCUCAACUGGUUAGAGUCCCCGCCUCAUAAGCGGGUUGUUGCAGGUUCGAGUCCUGCUUGAUCCA